RNAcentral lists this ribosomal RNA (502 nucleotides) under Phormidium sp. ISC 68. Its description in RNAcentral is "bacterial SSU rRNA". It matches the Rfam family "Bacterial small subunit ribosomal RNA", at positions 191 to 710 of the family's 1533-position model. Lineage: Bacteria; Bacillati; Cyanobacteriota; Cyanophyceae; Oscillatoriales; Oscillatoriaceae. The record is from RNAcentral.
UGCCGAGAGGUGAAAGCUAUAGUGCCUGAAGAUGAGCUCGCGUCUGAUUAGCUAGUUGGUGGUGUAAUGGACCACCAAGGCGACGAUCAGUAGCUGGUCUGAGAGGAUGAUCAGCCACACUGGGACUGAGACACGGCCCAGACUCCUACGGGAGGCAGCAGUGGGGAAUUUUCCGCAAUGGGCGAAAGCCUGACGGAGCAAGACCGCGUGAGGGAGGAAGGCCUACUGGUUGUAAACCUCUUUUGAUAGGGAAGAACACAAUGACGGUACCUAUCGAAUCAGCAUCGGCUAACUCCGUGCCAGCAGCCGCGGUAAUACGGAGGAUGCAAGCGUUAUCCGGAUUUAUUGGGCGUAAAGCGUCCGUAGGUGGAUGGCCAAGUCAGUUGUUAAAGCGUGGAGCUUAACUCCAUAACGGCAAAUGAAACUGGUCGUCUAGAGUGCGACAGGGGCAAGGGGAAUUCCCAGUGUAGCGGUGAAAUGCCUAGAUACUGGGAAGUUCAUC